RNAcentral lists this long non-coding RNA (516 nucleotides) under Phoenix dactylifera (date palm). RNAcentral describes it as "long non-coding RNA (PDAC_LNC015999)". The record is from RNAcentral. Lineage: Eukaryota; Viridiplantae; Streptophyta; Magnoliopsida; Arecales; Arecaceae.
UCUCUUCUACAACAAAGAGAGAAUGUUUCAGACCUCCACCCAACUAGCUCAACCAUAAUCCAAGAUUUCCGUCUCAAACCAGUUCACGGUCUUCGUAAAUUUUUUUAAGGUGGGUCCCAUCAAAUAGGUCGUGCCACGAACGCAUCUAGUCAUGACCUCCUUAGCUAAUUUUUUAUUCUUUUUCCCUUGAGCUGCAGUUUGAAGGCCGGACAAGCCAUGACCACGCCCAGGAUCCCAGAGAUUCCCUUUCACCCGGACGACAAGCCUCCACCUAGAAAAGUUGAAUAAAAGAGAGGGGCAAAGAAAGAGAAACGAAAGCCAAAGAAAGAAGGAAAGAAAGAACUCAUAAAGAAGAAAUCUAUGAGAUGACAUGCGUCUUUUGGUAAAGUGCUCUCUUCUUUAUAGGCCGCAUCAUCUCACCCUUCCGUGAAAAUUACAGGCAUCCUUCUCCUCCUCUCCCUCUCUCUUAUUCCACCCCAGCUUCAGCUGCCGAAAUAGGGUGAUAGAAGGGGGACU